UCGAGAAUCUUCGGCAAUGGGGGAAACCCUGACCGAGCGACGCCGCGUGCGAGAUGAAGGCCUUCGGGUUGUAAAUCGCUGUCGUAGAGGAGGAAAUGCUGGUGGGUUCUCCCAUCAGUUUGACCUAUUCUAGGAGGAAGGACGGGCUAAGUUCGUGCCAGCAGCCGCGGUAAGACGAACCGUCCAAACGUUAUUCGGAAUCACUGGGCUUAAAGGGUGCGUAGGCGGUCCUGAAAGUUGGGUGUGAAAGCCCUCGGCUCAACCGAGGAAUUGCGCCCAAAACUACAGGACUUGAGGGAGACAGAGGUGAGCGGAACUUAGGGUGGAGCGGUGAAAUGCGUUGAGAUCCUAGGGAACACCAGUAGCGAAAGCGGCUCACUGGGUCUCUUCUGACGCUGAGGCACGAAAGCUAGGGGAGCGAAGAG
This 425-nucleotide ribosomal RNA is filed under the name uncultured bacterium. RNAcentral describes it as "bacterial SSU rRNA". It matches the Rfam family "Bacterial small subunit ribosomal RNA", at positions 355 to 775 of the family's 1533-position model. The record is from RNAcentral.